AUGCUUCGGAUGCUUCGCCAUGGAAUAGAUCGAUUCAGUUCCCCUUCUUUUCUGGUGCACUCUCUUUGUAUCUCCGACACACAAGGAAGGACGCGGUGGGAAGAAAGCUGCCCUAGCCUCUGUCUGGUCGAUCAUUUCGCUGGCAUCUUGCAUUCAUGCCUCCGUUUGACUGCCGCUCGGGAAUGUAGUUGUAGAUACGUGAGUCUUAGUGGGUCGUUGGCUCCACCUCUUAUCUCCUUCUACGACAUGUUGUAG
RNAcentral lists this ribosomal RNA (255 nucleotides) under Triticum aestivum (bread wheat). Its description in RNAcentral is "partial small subunit ribosomal RNA". The record is from RNAcentral. Lineage: Eukaryota; Viridiplantae; Streptophyta; Magnoliopsida; Poales; Poaceae.